CAAGAAAUUUUGCGAAAUCAACCUGCCCCAAAAGUAUUCCACUUCUUCCUGGAUACCCAAGGACUAUAGGAUGAACCACAUCCCUGACCUACUGAGCCCAGACAGUCUUGAGCAGACUAAGGUCCAUGUAAAUGUCAAAUAUUCCUCAUAAAAUCAACCUGAGAAUAACCACCUUCAGCUGCCCAAAGUCGAGGGAAUCGGGGCAACAACUCUUCAAUAACCUCUUCAAGCUGUAAAACAACAGGAGUUUACUUUUGAAACAUUUGCCUCAGCCAAGCUGCCUGGGUGACAGUUAAUAAGGAGAAAACCAGGAGACAUCCACAUGGAGUGGAGACUGUGAAGAUCAAAGCUGAGGGAGCCUCAGCCAGAGGAGUGUCCUUAGCACGCCACAAGCAGG
This 397-nucleotide long non-coding RNA is filed under the name Rattus norvegicus (Norway rat). RNAcentral's name for it is "long non-coding RNA NONRATT009643". Lineage: Eukaryota; Metazoa; Chordata; Mammalia; Rodentia; Muridae. The record is from RNAcentral.